AGUGUGACCAAUAGUCAGAGCUCUUCUCCAGAAAAAGCAAAGAAGCCAUGAGGAUUUAAUAAAUCAUAUCAGAACUUAGAAGACAGCAUAAAGAAAGCAUUUGAUCAGCAUUUGGGGAGAUAUUUAAAUCAGAAUGAAUUGAUAUAUUGGAGCAGUCCUGCUGUAUAAAAGGAUAAAUUCGAACUUAUCAUAGUCAGUAAAUUUUUGAAAUUCUUGCAUAUUCUUAUCAAGCUGCACUUAAAUGUAAGACAGUGCAAGUGCCUAGAUACUCAAAGAGAAUGGCAACAUAAAGGAUCAAUUCAAUAGAACAAAUGAUAUAAUGAAUGCUAUAAUAGAAAAGGAUCAGAAACUGAAAGUAAAAGCAAUAAUGGCAGAAAUCAAAGUAAGAUAUCAACCUUUUAUUCCAAAUUUAAGAAAAGGCACAAUCAAGCAUCAAACAUCUAGUAAUGAUGAAGUUAAAGAUAGUAAAUCAUUGCCAAAGAACAAAAACAAAAAUUUAAGGAAAUCCUAUGAUGCCAAAGCCACCUUGUAAAAAUAGCUGAAAGUAGCAAAAUUUUACAAGCAUGCCGAAGGCUAAGAGAAAAAAUGAAGGUGAGUUUAUUGAUUUGGAUUGGAAAAAUAUCUUAAUGAAGAUUUAUAAAGGGAAGAAUAGGAAUAACUGCUUACCCAAAGGCAAUACUAUUAGAAGAAAGACCCAAAAAGCAGCCUUAUUAAUGGCAAAUAAGGUGGGAGUAACAAUGACUCUCUUAAGAUACCCAAAUCCCUCGUCAUCUAAUAAUUGACAUGCAUGAAAUGGAUUAAUGAGAUUUCGUGUGUCUCUAUCUACUAUCUAGCGAAUGUAUAGGUAAGGAACAGACUUGCGGAAUCAGCGAGGAAGUAGCCUUUGUUGAGUUUGACUCUAAUCUGGCUUUGCCAAAUGGCUGAGGGUGUAUACAUAUAUGGGAGCCCUGCAUAUUGAAAAUCCACAACUCUUGAUGUCAUUUUAAUUAUCUAGAAAGUUAGAAACCUCGGAUUCUAGCUUUGUUCUUAGCGGGAGAUAAAAUUAGUUUGUGAGUUAGGCUGGGAGGCACAUCUGUUAAAUGGUAGUACAGGUACCAUAUUGCGAAAUCAAAGAGAACAAGAAUACCUUGUUGAUUAAAAGGGGAAAAAGUUGGUUGAUUUGAUUCCAGUAAAAAUACAUAUUACCAAGGCAUAGCCUAUCAAUCCUCUACUUUUAAAAGUCUCAAGCCAGACUUGUAAGAAAAGCACCACAGGAUAACUGGCUUGUGAUAGCUAAGCUUUCGUAGCGACGUUGUUUUUGAUUCUGCCAUGUUGGCUCUUCCUAUUAUUGUUAGGCAGGAUUCACCAUAUGUCAAAUUGCUCACACACUAAUAGGGAACGUGAGCUAGGUUUAGACGGUAGUGAGGCAGGCUAGUUUUCCCCUACUGAUGAUUGAUAUCGCUACAGUAAUCUAAAGUAUUAUUCAUGCUUAUAUUCAGAGCUCUGGGGAGAAAUCACAUUGUGUCAGCACUAGUUACAGUCUCCACAAUUUUCUGUUUUAAUUGAACAGUCAGAUUCCUCUCGUUGUUCCAGUCCUGAGUUGUUCAUUCAUUGCCAAGGGUGACUGACAGGUCAAGCCAUUGGUGACGCUUAAAAGUUUACCCAUUUGGUACAACUAGGUCGAUCUGCCAGGCCGUUAGCCUGACCCUCAGAGCCAAUCUUUCUCGUAGUUGCCAAUCCCAUUUUACCGAAUUCCCUUAGUACAUUAUUCUACGUCCUAGAGGCCUCUAACCUUGG
This 1776-nucleotide ribosomal RNA is filed under the name Stentor polymorphus. Its description in RNAcentral is "eukaryotic LSU rRNA". The stretch from base 612 to 1776 matches the Rfam family "Eukaryotic large subunit ribosomal RNA", at positions 1891 to 3306 of the family's 3401-position model. The record is from RNAcentral. Lineage: Eukaryota; Ciliophora; Heterotrichea; Heterotrichida; Stentoridae.